GAGAGAACAAGUUCAUGCCAGUGGAAUCAGAAGUCUCUGUGGAAUACUACUGUUGGCCUACCUCCUACUAAAUGAUCAAAAACAAGUGCUCACAGCAAUCCAAUACUAUUUGUCUCUCUCCUUGUUAGCUCCCAUUUUGUUCUAUAAAUACCCUCAUUCUCUAUGUUACAAUUCCCUUUCCCCUCCCCCCCCUUCCUCUUCUCUUGCUUAGUUCUCUUGAGGUUCUAUUCUGCUUCAAGUUCUUAAUUCCUACCUCACUAUGUCGCAAAUCCUAAGUGCAGAGAUUUUCGCUUGACAUCUAGCUCUUGAUGUUUUUUCCUGAUUGUUCCUCCCAGAAGUAAAAAUUCUCCUGUUUUGUUUAUGAUAACUGAUACUCUACUGCGCAUGACCAAUCUUGCACAAUCCUUCUCUGUGGCCUUCCUUUACUGGUUCUAUGUUUUCCAAGAGUUAUGCAGGCAGUGAUGGACAGGAAGAAACGGAAGCGAAUGUUAUCGAAUCGAGAAUCAGCAAGGCGAUCCCGGAUGCGCAAGCAGAAGAAACUGUCCGAUCUGAUUGCAGAAGUGAACCAACUGAAGAAGGAGAACAGCCAAAUCUUAACAGUCUUGAGCAUCACCACGCGACGCUACUCCACUUUGGAGGCUCAGAAUUUCAUUCUCAAGGCCCAGCUGAUGAAGCUCAGCAGUGAACUUCAGUAUUUCAGUAAGAUGUCACACAACAUUACAAGUAACAGCUUUAGCAGCAACAUGGCCUUGUGUGAUCGACCUCACCUCAUGGAAAGCUUCACAAGUUCCUCCAAUAUGGGAUAUAUAAGUCAGCUUAUCAUAGCUUCAGCAGAAGACAUGCUUUACUAUUGAGAUAUAAUAAGCUAAUAAUGGAGCAUGUAAGUUUCUAACUAGGAGGGAACCUGGUUUAUGCCAAGUGUAUGACUACUAAUUUGCUAUGUUUAUUGGGAGCUUGGGAUUUAUUGAUUAGUUAUGA
This is an RNA transcript of Zingiber officinale, 978 nucleotides long. It is a transcript of the gene named bZIP transcription factor 11-like, with no coding region annotated. Lineage: Eukaryota; Viridiplantae; Streptophyta; Magnoliopsida; Zingiberales; Zingiberaceae. The record is from RefSeq and is a predicted model, not a curated record. The transcript is spliced from 2 exons.